AGUUAUGAACUGUCUAAAGCUGCCCGUUUAAAACUUGAACCCUAAGUAGCCUGGCUCCAGAGCCUCCCAAAGUUAGGCUCUGGAGCCUCCCAAACUUUUAGCCACUACUCUAUGCUGCUUCUCUGUUCCAGGUGCACAGGAUGGGAAAUUUGCCCUUUUGCAGGAGUGAGAAUGCUCAUCCAUACACAUGCCAGAGAUCCUCUUCCUUGACGAAGCAAGAUUCUAUGUUGAGGCCCAUGCCAAGGAAUUGAAGAAAAUCUAUGACCAACAGCCAUCUAGGAAAUGAGGCUCUCAGCCCAACAGAUCAAAAGGAACUGAAUCCUAUCAACGACCACGCACUUUUUCCUCAGUAUGAAUGUCAUCUUCAUCAUUACUAUGAUCAUGAUCACCUUGAUUCAGAACCAUUUCAGCUGCUUCAGGAUUGGUCAGUGAAUGAACAAAUGGAACCUCAAUGUUAAAAAACUUUGUCAAUAUGCACUUCUACCAGCUUACUGAUUGAUAUAGUUUGAAUGUCCCCUCAAAAUCUCAUCUUGAGAUGUAAUCCCCAGUGUUGGAGGUGUUUGGAUCAUGGGGGCAGAUCCCUCAUGAAUGGCUUGAGCCAUCCCCUUAGUGGUAAGUGAGCUCUCAUUCUCAGUUCACAUGAGAUCUGGUCAUUUAAAAGUGUCUGGCACUUCCUCCUAAUUCUCUUUCUCUCUCGAUCCCAUUUUCUCCAUGUGAGAUGCCUGCUGCUCCUUUGCCUUCCACCAUCAAUAAAGGCUCCCUGAGGGCCCCCCAGAAGCCAAGCAGAUGCUAGCACCCUGCUUCCUGUACAGCCUGCAGUAGAGCCAUGUGCCAAUCAAGCCUCUUUAUAAAUUACAUAGUCUCAGAUGUUUCUUUAUUGCAGUGCAUGAACAGCCUAAUAUACUGAUAGGCUCUGAAUGCAUAUUUUCUGCAUAUGAGAGGAGGUCCAAAAUCAUUUUUUUCACACUUGACAUAUGGGAAUUCUCCAAAGCACCAAUUUGUUCAUCAUCAUCACUGAACAUAGUCACAGACAAGAGGUUGUACCAGGCAUGCAAAACUGUGUCUUUAGUCACUACAUUCCAAGUCUCGACAACAGCAUAUACAGUAUUCUUCAUGUUAAACUCCUUUUCAAAAACGUCCACUCCCAUACCUCU
Piliocolobus tephrosceles (Ugandan red Colobus) is the source of this 1154-nucleotide long non-coding RNA. RefSeq lists it as uncharacterized. The transcript is spliced from 3 exons. Lineage: Eukaryota; Metazoa; Chordata; Mammalia; Primates; Cercopithecidae. The record is from RefSeq and is a predicted model, not a curated record.